This 406-nucleotide ribosomal RNA is filed under the name uncultured bacterium. RNAcentral's name for it is "partial 16S ribosomal RNA". It matches the Rfam family "Bacterial small subunit ribosomal RNA", at positions 30 to 526 of the family's 1533-position model. The record is from RNAcentral.
AUUGAACGCUGGCGGCAGGCCUAACACAUGCAAGUCGAGCGAGCGGCGGACGGGUGAGUAAUGUCUGGGAAACUGCCUGAUGGAGGGGGAUAACUACUGGAAACGGUAGCUAAUACCGCAUACCAUCAGAUGUGCCCAGAUGGGAUUAGCUAGUAGGUGGGGUAAUGGCUCACCUAGGCUACGAUCCCUAGCUGGUCUGAGAGGAUGACCAGACACACGGGAACGUGUACACGGUCCAGACUCCUACGGGAGGAAGCAGGGGGGAAUAUUGACAAAUGGGCGCAAGCCUGAGGCAGCCAUGCCGCGUGUGUGAAGAAGGCCUUCGGGUUGUAAAGCACUUUCAGCGGGGAGGCGUUACCCGCAGAAGAAGCACCGGCUAACUCCGUGCCAGCAGCCGCGGUAAUAC